GAUCAUGGCUCAGGACGAACGCUGGCGGCGUGCUUCAUACAUGCAAGUCGAACGAGAAUCUCUAGCUUGCUAGAGAGGAAAGUGGCGGACGGGUGAGUAAUGUGUAGAGAAUCUGCCCUUGAGAGGGGGACAACAGCUGGAAACGGUUGCUAAUACCCCAUAUGAGCGUACCUGCGAUGGUAUUCUUGAAAACUCCGGUGCUCAAGGAUGAGUCUGCAU
RNAcentral lists this ribosomal RNA (219 nucleotides) under uncultured bacterium. Its description in RNAcentral is "partial 16S ribosomal RNA". It matches the Rfam family "Bacterial small subunit ribosomal RNA", at positions 15 to 236 of the family's 1533-position model. The record is from RNAcentral.